Molecule: small RNA, 29 nt
Filed under: Bombyx mori (domestic silkworm)
Lineage: Eukaryota; Metazoa; Arthropoda; Insecta; Lepidoptera; Bombycidae
Description: ovarian small RNA-16424
Source: RNAcentral
GCACUGCAGAGGUAGUGGUAUCAUGCAAG